Molecule: long non-coding RNA, 974 nt
Filed under: Homo sapiens (human)
Lineage: Eukaryota; Metazoa; Chordata; Mammalia; Primates; Hominidae
Description: HSALNT0173441
Source: RNAcentral
UUGCAGACUUACAAGGUAUCUGAAACUUCUUUAUUUCUAGCUGGUUCCUCCCUCUUUGAACUCAUCUGGAUCUGGCUUAUUUCAAAUGUCCAUCCCCACAGUGCCUGCUGUGUAUGGGGAAAUAGACUUGGCAUGGGGAAUGCUCAGAAGCUCAAGAUAAGGCCUCUGUACCACAAGAUAAAGCUCAUUGUCUAAUAGAUAGACAAGUAAACCUCUAUGAGAUCAGGUAAGUAAAUCUCCUGGCAGGGAAAAUACCAAACAUAUUCUAAAUUCAAACUUAAAUUAUUUGAGGAAUAUACAUUCUUAUUUUCUCUGUUAGCAUUGUUACUCAUUUAAUUCAAUUCCAGACACUGUUUUGGGGCAGAUAUUAAAUCAUAUUCUGGUAUUACAGCUGGAUAAAAAGGUCAACAUAAUGCCUUCUUACUUUAUCAGGAAAGACAGAUAAUUAAGAAGUAUUUAUUUAAGAUAAGUGUCAGGACCCAAAAACAUUAAAUACCAAGGCAGUAUGCUUUAAAUAGCAUGGAAUAACUAUGUUAUUUAAAUAAAAUACCAUUACAACAAAUAAUUACAAGAAGGAAGAGUACUCAUUACAUAGGACACAUUAUGGACCUUUCAUAGGACAAAUAAAAUAAUAAGAUAUCGCUGAUUAAGAUAUCAUUGAUCAAGUUAAGUUAGCUAUUUAAGGAAUACUUCUAUAAAACAGGCUUUUUUUCUUAUGGUAAAAUUCUUACAGUUUUCAAUGGUACACCAUUACUUUCAUAAUAAAGUUAAACUUUUCUGCUUACCACAGGAGGCCAUUGAGGAUAUGGCCUUUCUUUUCUCUAGAUUCAUCUCUUACAAUUUUACAACAGUUUUUUCAUACCCUCCUUGAAAUCUAAACUACUUUCACAUUAGCUCACAAUGUUGUGUCAUACCUCUCUUCAUGUCUAUGUGCUGUUUAUUUACGUAGCGUUAUUCAUCCCACUUAUGUUUCA